RNAcentral lists this non-coding RNA (28 nucleotides) under Rattus norvegicus (Norway rat). The record is from RNAcentral. Lineage: Eukaryota; Metazoa; Chordata; Mammalia; Rodentia; Muridae.
UGCAGCGGUCUACAUGGAAUCUGUAAGU